Molecule: long non-coding RNA, 698 nt
Filed under: Penaeus merguiensis
Lineage: Eukaryota; Metazoa; Arthropoda; Malacostraca; Decapoda; Penaeidae
Description: partial lncVP10
Source: RNAcentral
UUCAUAUAUUGUAUUCUAUUGGCCCCAAAUUAAAUAUUAGUCAAGUACAAUAGAUGUUUGUGCCUUAGAGGAAAAUUGUCAUUAAUAAAUGACUCAAACACAGUCAAAAGAACUUGGAUGCAAUCACACAAAAUGGCAUGUCAAAACUUACUGAAUGGUAGCCCUUUUGGUGCAAGUGUCACUGGUGGGAAAAGCAGUAUGCAUCUUCUCUUUGCAUUGUGAUCAUGUUUCGUAAAGAUUAUUAUUGGUAUUGCAAUUAUUGUGAUUAUUAUUUUUCUUUGGUCCUUUUUUGUUCUGAUUUUAAAGUUCGGAAAAUGAAAUCUUUAUAUGAAAGUAAUCUGUUUAGUCUGUGUUUAGUAUCUUACGAACAUCGGUUGAUUUUGUCAAUACUGUGUGGGGGGGGUAUUUUUAAUACAGUAAUUAUAAAGUGUGUGACUGAUAUGUAUACUUUAUUUUUUCUUUUUAAUUCUGCUGUCAAACUUUAUGUGAAUAUAUGAUAAAUUGACUCUUUACCUGUAAACCUGAAAUGCAGUAAAUUUGUGGUGUACAGUUGCAUUGUGUGAAUGAUAAAACGGACGGACGAAGUGAUGACGAAGGGUGCCAAUACAUGACCCAUGCUGACAUCUGUGGUAGCUAUAAUUCUCACUUUUAAGGAAAAUAUCUUUUGAUUGUUUAUCACAUGAAAAAAAAAAAAAAAA